This 1121-nucleotide long non-coding RNA is filed under the name Vulpes vulpes (red fox). RNAcentral describes it as "lncRNA (ENSVVUG00000006922.1)". The record is from RNAcentral. Lineage: Eukaryota; Metazoa; Chordata; Mammalia; Carnivora; Canidae.
CCUCGGCCUGUGUCUCUGCCUCUCUCUCUCUCUGUGUCUCAUGAAUAAAUAAAUAAAAUCUUAAAAAACAAUAAUAAGACCAGGAAGGCUCACACUCGGGACGCGCACCCUUAGGCCCCGAUGUCAGCAGCCCCUCCCCGAGCUGGGGGCCACCCUUUGCUCUACCUACAGUGGAGACACUGUCUUGGUAGUCAGGUGUAAUGGCAGGAGAAUAGCCUUUAAACCAAUCUAACUUAUUUUUUUAAUUAAUUAAUUUAUUUAUGAUAGUCACACACAGAGAGAGAGGCAGAGGGAGAAGCAGGCUCCAUGCAGGGAGCCCGAUGUGGGAUUCGAUCCCGGGUCUCCAGGAUCGCGCCCUGGGCCAAAGGCAGGCGCCAACCCGCUGCGCCACCCAGGGAUCCCUAAUCUAACUUAUUUUUAAGUAAAUCACUGACAAACUAAAAUUAUUAAUGAUGCCAAUUUAUCUAAGCUGCAUCUCAGGACCUGCCCUAUGUAGCCUAUCUCAGCAGAGCUGCUGCAAGCCCCGGGAACCCAGAGGCUUCCGUUGAAGUGAACCAACCCAAUGCUGUUCCCGUCAGAAUCCCUUGCAGAACACGGACAGAUCAAGCCGUCAAGAUCCAUUACCCAGCCGAAGUGACAGCACAUCCGCGUAUGAAGUUUGGGAAGGAGUCUCUCCACUCAGCCUACAAGGCUUUCCUCUCCUGUUGAUCUUUUCUUAAAAAAGGCUGUUUAUUGGGGUCCCUUUCUCUCCAGCCCAUUUGCUGGAGUAGGGCUUUGCAAAGCCGGUCUCCUAGCAGCCGAGUGCAGAAGGCCCAUUCGUAUUACAAUGGACGGGAAGGAAAGAAAGAGCCUGGUCUGUUUAAACUGCCUCUGUCUUCAUUCACAGCCUGAUGUCCGCCUGCAUUGUGACACCCACAAUGGCACUAAAGGACUCAUUGUGGCCGAAAACAAAUCAAAACAGAAUAAGGGACGCUAAGAUAAAAGAGUCAUGCAGCAAAAUUGCUUAAAAAAUCUAAGUCUUACAUCUGAGAUUUAUGUUACCUUUUGGCUGUGUGGCCUAUUGACCGGUGUUUAUAAUAACCACUAGAGUUUAAUAAACAAAAAGAUAAAUGGGGACUUCA